RNAcentral lists this ribosomal RNA (297 nucleotides) under Triticum aestivum (bread wheat). RNAcentral's name for it is "partial small subunit ribosomal RNA". Lineage: Eukaryota; Viridiplantae; Streptophyta; Magnoliopsida; Poales; Poaceae. The record is from RNAcentral.
AUGGCGUGUUCUUGCUGUCCUCUUCUCUUAGUGAUAUUUAUUGCUCGCUCCUCGUCUAAAGAAAAGGCAUCUACUUCGACCAAGGCUGCAGACCUUGAUGAAACAUCUUCCUAUCGUUGCUGCUGCUCGCUGCUACUAGUACUACAGCCCUUAGUUGCUCGAAUGGAAGUUUUCCGAGCUGGCCGUGCAAACAAUGGAAGCGGCAGUUCGACCAUGGUGAGUAUUGCUAGGGCUGAAGAUGCAUUUGCAGGCACCAUGGUCCCUGUUGGAGUGCUGGUGAAGAUGUUGAGGCCUUGA